Camellia sinensis is the source of this 460-nucleotide non-coding RNA. NCBI's taxonomy places the organism in Eukaryota, Viridiplantae, Streptophyta, Magnoliopsida, Ericales, Theaceae. The record is from RefSeq and is a predicted model, not a curated record.
GUUGAUUUUGGAUAAUGGAGCUUGCUUGCUUAUAUUUUCUAUUCUUCCUUUUGUUUUAGGUACAUAUGUCUUGGCUUGAAGGAGUGUUUGAUUAGCUCAUAAAAAGUUGUUGUGACUUUGUUUGCCGCAAUGGUUGAUUAGGUUAUAUAAUGAAUGGAAGUGUUGUGUGGGUCUAUUAGUGAAUUUUUCAAGAAAUGGAGAGCAAUGGCACAACGGCCCAUUAAACAAAAAAUGAGUUAUGCAUUAUUACAGGGAUGGAAACUCAACGGAGCAUGAUCAUCCAAAAAUGGAUACUUCGCACAAGGUCAUUGAUCCAUAUUGGAAACAUUGUGUUACGUUGCUUCUACCAGUGUGUCAUUGGUUGGCUCUCUCAUGUUAAAUUAUUUAUUUAUUUAUUUUUGGGUUAGCUAGGAUGAUUCUUUUGUAUCAUAAUGUUCAUCGACCUUUAUUUGAAGGAAUU